Molecule: long non-coding RNA, 3163 nt
Organism: Varroa destructor (honeybee mite)
Lineage: Eukaryota; Metazoa; Arthropoda; Arachnida; Mesostigmata; Varroidae
Source: RefSeq, a predicted model, not a curated record
AAAAGAGUUUCCCUUAAUGAAAAAGCGAGCCGACGUAGAAUGAAGGUCAAAAGAAGAUGUGAAGAUAAUGAUAGAAAAUGUUGGUAGUCGCUUCGGAUAUGUCUUCUGGCGCCGCUACUCCCUGAUGCCAUUGGUGUCACCGGAUUACAAGGAAUGUUAAAGUUACGAUCGAUUUUCACUAAAUUCCGGUCUGCUUGUACGCCGCAGAAGUCGGGACGCCUUCUAUUUGUCACCCAGUCCCGUUUGCCCAGUCCCUUCCUUUUUUGUCGAUUGAACGCAUUUUCGGCAUCUUCCUUCUCGAUCCCCCACACAGCAGAAAACGAGGAGAGGGUAACUGAUGUGGCAACAUCCCUCCCUUUCCUCGCAGCGGAAAAAACAAACAAAAAAUACCAAGGCAUUCAAACAAACCAGCAGACCUUCGCAUUGGCGUUAACAGUUUUGCAAGCAAAAAAAAAGAGAAGCUUCCUGUACAUAGUCUUGGAUCGUAUACAGCAUCUUCGCAUUUACUGGCUAAGUAUAUCCUUCUUGGCACAUAUUUCCUUGUAGUAGUAUAACAACGGUCUUCUGCCUUACUAAGUAUAACUAUUUAUGUGUGUAUGAUACGAAAAGAAUUUGUAAGAUAUAUAUUACUGAUCAUUAAACAACCUGAGGCCUAUAAAUGAAGGCUAAACGUGUUGAAAGUUUUAAUGGCAUCCUUAGUGCAUAGAUUUGUAGCAGAAAAUCAAAAGCUAUAGUUCAAUAUACCGGAUUGAGUGAGAGGAUGCGUUCUGAUACCUAGUAUCGUCAUAGUUAUAUUGAAGACACCUACAAAGAGUAGAAAAAUUGUAGUGACUGUAUUGCUUUCAUCAUGUGACAAGGUAAGUUAAUCCACGAACCACGAAAUAGAUGUUAUGGAACUCGUUUCAGUACCUACCCCUACUAGCAAGAGUAGAUGAAAACACUGGCUGUGAAUGAAAAAACUGAAGUCUUAGUUUAAAUAAUCCUGAUAACACAAACAUGUCUGCAGCACACGUAUUUUGGUCAUUCCACCACAGCUCCGAACGAAAUGCCCUCUCACCUGAAACCUGUCUGUUUUACGAAUUAAGAUAAUGCUUGAAAUUGACUGAUACACGAGUCAGCCGGUUCUGAGGUUUCGGGUUUAUUAAUCACAAUUUCUUGCCUAUGAGGUAACAAAUUAUUGCAAUAUAACAGCAUAUAAUAGUAGUAUAUUGUAGUUGAUACAGCUUUUUUCUUUGACUGACACAAUUUCCGUUUCGUAGAUAGACCCAUAGAUUUUGUAUUACGACAAAGAGGGAAAAAAGAGGCUUAAUGUCGGGGCACAAUGUGGUUGCUUCAAAGGUAAACAACAAUUGAGCAGAACUUUCGUCCCUGCUCCGCUCUUGGGCUCUCAGCAGCUCAGCCGGUGAAUCCAGGUUUCCCCGGUGAAAAGUCCACAAAGAGGGAUGAAGAUUUUCUCCUCGAUUAGAACAUAACCCUUUAAGGGUGGUACUCCACUGAAGCGUACUUGCCUCCAUGCGUGUACUGAAAGGAGUUCCUUUCGUGUUCCAUCCCCGAGGUUCCCUCCAAGAGCCUUUUCCCAUUGGUUCGCCUCAUCGCGGCCAGAAUCUCGCUUACGUACAACUAGGCCCUACAGCCACCUCGCUAAGCAACCGACCAGGCCACCAAAGAGGCAGUCGGUGAGCCCUGAAAUUGCAGCAACAGGUACGCGUCUUCACCAGCGAAGAAAAGACUUCUCGUUUUGGCUUAUCAUCUUAGAAGGACAUCAUAACAGGUAACUUACUUGGCCAGAUCCAAUGCAUUUGCUUUGUUAUCGGAACGAGAGCUGUGUGGUACGUGUUACGGCAGGAGUUUACCAAAACGAAUUUCCUGGUAGAAGUAGUAAAAUAUUUCCUAUUUUUCGUGUUUCCGUUGAAAAAAGACAGCAAAAGUCCUGUAUUUUUAAAGUUACGCCGCAUACUCACCAAGAAAAACGCUUUUUUUUUAGGUGCAUAAAAAUUAAAGUACAUUUUCCUACUAGCAGUAGAAUGUAGCUUACUGAAAUGUUCCAUUCGAUUCUGGGAAGAGCUAUUAUAACCACUAAAGCAUAUCCCACAAAUCGAAGUACAUUUUUUUCUCCGUAUUCAAGUGAGGGCACACGGUCUUUCGCAAAAUAACGUGUGCUUUACGGUCCAGCGUAUUGGUCUUAAAGUGUUUAUUAAAAGCAUAAUUUUCUGAUUAUUACGACACAAUUGUUGGAUCUUCAGUGUUGUUGUAGAUGUUCAGUCUCCUACUGGCUGCUGCUGAACCAGUAUAACUGGUUGACGUUCCCGUGGACGCUUCACUCAUCCUACUUGAAGCCGUCCUUGAAUUGAAUUUUUUUUCUGAAAUUUUUUUUGCUCUGAUAAAUAUCAAUCAAAUUGAGGACAUUCUUGUUACAAAAGACCUUGCAAGCCUUUUGCAAACGUUCGAAAAUAGUUAAAUAAAUAUCUGACAAACAACCUGAGCAUAGAUGCAAAAUAGUAUGACAGAAAGUAUAUAUGAAAAUCUGAUUUUCUAUUUUACAAGGUAAACAAUAUAUAUGUGCAGUAAAAAAAUCAUUAUUUGUGAAAAGUAUACACAUAAUAUUUUCUGAACGUGGCCUUAUGCGUACUUUCUGUAAGUAUUCAUUUCUUCUUAAUCCAUUAGACCCGUCUCGACUUAUCUUUUAAGCUUAAAAAACUGCAAGGGUAUCUCAGUAGUGGGUCUGCUAUUGAUUCUAAGCUACCACUACCAUCCUCUCCCGUCAGUUAGGUAGGCGGUUUUUAACAAUGCAGAACUUCUUGUGAACUCUUUAGUAGUUCAUGUAGUUCUUAGGUAGUUAUGCACUUUAUUUCGGUUAAUUUAGUACGCUGCUAUAUAUCCCUAAAUAUUCAACUUGAUUUUGCCUCUUGUAGAUCACCGCCGCCAGGAACUCGAUCAGCCCGAUCGGAUUUUACGUCAGUUCAUUGGUAAACUUCCGAGCUUGGACGAAAUGACGGCAUUAGACCUGUGAUGUACGUGAGCUAAGCGAUGCUGGUUUCUUCCAUAAGCCAACAACCGUUACUGAGCCUCGAACGCACGCUCAUUUUCACAUGAUCAGACAACGAAAAUAUCUGUUAUUCAGUCUCUGUCAAUCUUACUAUAAAUUUGAUAUAUUUAUCGAGGA